GCUCUCCCAAUCUCCCCUGAUGAAAUUAUUAACAUAGUUGAAAUGAAAUGAAUGAAGAUUCAUAAAUGAACAAACAAGUGGAAAUAACAGAAAUGCAAACAUCUUGACCAUAGUUCAAAUAUGUGUUCCAAAUCCCCAAUGAAUAACAAACACCACAAAUAACAAAUUGAAUUUCCAAAAACAUAAGCUCUCACCACACCAAACAAAGCACACAGAAUUUUGCCAAAACAAUGAUUGGG
Molecule: long non-coding RNA, 239 nt
Organism: Ipomoea nil (Japanese morning glory)
Lineage: Eukaryota; Viridiplantae; Streptophyta; Magnoliopsida; Solanales; Convolvulaceae
Exons: 2
Source: RefSeq, a predicted model, not a curated record